GGGUGGUUAGUUCAGAGGAAGAACGCUUCCUUGACGCGGAAGAGGUCGCAGGUUCGAGUCCUGCACCACCCACCA
Molecule: transfer RNA, 75 nt
Filed under: Thermovirga lienii
Lineage: Bacteria; Thermotogati; Synergistota; Synergistia; Synergistales; Thermovirgaceae
Also listed under: 7 other names
Description: tRNA-Val
Rfam family: tRNA
About the family: Transfer RNA (tRNA) molecules are approximately 80 nucleotides in length. Their secondary structure includes four short double-helical elements and three loops (D, anti-codon, and T loops).
Source: RNAcentral